Molecule: ribosomal RNA, 395 nt
Filed under: uncultured bacterium
Lineage: Bacteria
Description: partial 16S ribosomal RNA
Rfam family: Bacterial small subunit ribosomal RNA
Source: RNAcentral
AUACGUAGGGUGCAAGCGUUAAUCGGAAUUACUGGGCGUAAAGCGUGCGCAGGCGGUUUUGUAAGACAGAGGGGAAAUCCCCGGGCUCAACCUGGGAACUGCCUUUGUGACUGCAAGGCUAGAGUACGGCAGAGGGGGGUGGGAUUCCGCGUGUAGCAGGGGAAUGCGUAGAUAUGCGGAGGAACACCGAUGGCGAAGGCAAUCCCCUGGGCCUGUACUGACGCUCAUGCACGAAAGCGUGGGGAGCAAACAGGAUUAGAUACCCUGGUAGUCCACGCCCUAAACGAUGUCAACUGGUUGUUGGGUCUUCAUUGACUCAGUAACGAAGCUAACGCGUGAAGUUGACCGCCUGGGGAGUACGGCCGCAAGGUUGAAACUUAAAGGAAUUGACGGGG